GACCAAGGAGUCUAGCAUGUGCGCGAGUCAUUGGGACUCUAAUAAACCUAAAGGCGCAAUGAAAGUAAAAGUCCGCCUUGCGCGGACCUAGGGAGGAUGGGACCGUUUUCGUAACGCGGACCUCGCACUCCCGGGGCGUCUCGUUCUCAUCGCGAGAAGAGGCGCACCCAGAGCGUACACGCUGGGACCCGAAAGAUGGUGAACUAUGCCUGGUCAGGACGAAGUCAGGGGAAACCCUGAUGGAGGUCCGUAGCGAUUCUGACGUGCAAAUCGAUCGUCGGAACUGGGUAUAGGGGCGAAAGACUAAUCGAAC
RNAcentral lists this ribosomal RNA (313 nucleotides) under Onthophagus elegans. Its description in RNAcentral is "eukaryotic LSU rRNA". It matches the Rfam family "Eukaryotic large subunit ribosomal RNA", at positions 664 to 940 of the family's 3401-position model. The record is from RNAcentral. Lineage: Eukaryota; Metazoa; Arthropoda; Insecta; Coleoptera; Scarabaeidae.